Molecule: ribosomal RNA, 447 nt
Filed under: Aeribacillus sp. H01D016
Lineage: Bacteria; Bacillati; Bacillota; Bacilli; Caryophanales; Bacillaceae
Description: bacterial SSU rRNA
Rfam family: Bacterial small subunit ribosomal RNA
Source: RNAcentral
GCGGCGGACGGGUGAGUAACACGUGGGCAACCUGCCCUGCAGACUGGGAUAACUUCGGGAAACCGGAGCUAAUACCGGAUAACACCGAAAACCGCAUGGUUUUCGGUUGAAAGGCGGCUUUUACCUGUCACUGCAGGAUGGGCCCGCGGCGCAUUACCUAGUUGGUGAGGUAACGGCUCACCAAGGCAACAAUGCGUAGCCAACCUGAAAGGGUGACCGGCCACACUGGGACUGAAACACGGCCCAAACUCCUACGGGAGGCAGCAGUAGGGAAUCUUCCGCAAUGGACAAAAGUCUGACGGAGCAACGCCGCGUGAGCGAAGAAGGUCUUCGGAUCGUAAAGCUCUGUUGUCAGGGAAGAACAAGUGCCGUUCGAACAGGGCGGUACCUUGACGGUACCUGACGAGGAAGCCACGGCUAACUACGUGCCAGCAGCCGCGGUAAUAC